CGCCCUUAGAGUUUGAUCAUGGCUCAGGAUGAACGCUGGCGGCGUGCCUAAUACAUGCAAGUCGAGCGAGGAUUCCUUCGGGAUGCUAGCGGCGGAUGGGUGAGUAACACGUGGGCAAUCUGCCCUAAAGACUGGGAUACCACUUGGAAACAGGUGCUAAUACCGGAUAACAACAUGAUCGCAUGAUUCAAGUUGAAAGGCGGUAAUGUCACUUUAGGAUGAGCCCGCGGCGCAUUAGCUAGUUGGUGGGGUAAAGGCCUACCAAGGCAAUGAUGCGUAGCCGAGUUGAGAGACUGAUCGGCCACAUUGGGACUGAGACACGGCCCAGACUCCUACGGGAGGCAGCAGUAGGGAAUCUUCCACAAUGGACGCAAGUCUGAUGGAGCAACGCCGCGUGAGUGAAGAAGGUUUUCGGAUCGUAAAGCUCUGUUGUUGGUGAAGAAGGAUAGAGGCGUAAGUCUUUAUUUGACGGUAAUCAACCAGAAAGUCACGGCUAACUACGUGCCAGCAGCCGCGGUAAUACGUAG
RNAcentral lists this ribosomal RNA (527 nucleotides) under uncultured Lactobacillus sp. RNAcentral's name for it is "bacterial SSU rRNA". It matches the Rfam family "Bacterial small subunit ribosomal RNA", at positions 1 to 530 of the family's 1533-position model. Lineage: Bacteria; Bacillati; Bacillota; Bacilli; Lactobacillales; Lactobacillaceae. The record is from RNAcentral.